Molecule: ribosomal RNA, 252 nt
Filed under: uncultured Bacteroidales bacterium
Lineage: Bacteria; Pseudomonadati; Bacteroidota; Bacteroidia; Bacteroidales
Description: partial 16S ribosomal RNA
Rfam family: Bacterial small subunit ribosomal RNA
Source: RNAcentral
UACGGAGGAUGCGAGCGUUAUCCGGAUUUAAUGGGUUUAAAGGGUGCGUAGGCGGGAUGUUAAGUCAGCGGUAAAAUUGCGGGGCUCAACCCCGUCGAGCCGUUGAAACUGGCAGACUUGAGUUGGCGAGAAGUACGCGGAAUGCGCGGUGUAGCGGUGAAAUGCUUAGAUAUCGCGCAGAACCCCGAUUGCGAAGGCAGCGUACCGGCUCCACACUGACGCUGGGGCACGAAAGCGUGGGUAUCGAACAGG